This 1130-nucleotide long non-coding RNA is filed under the name Cyanistes caeruleus (blue tit). Its description in RNAcentral is "lncRNA (ENSCCEG00000000672.1)". Lineage: Eukaryota; Metazoa; Chordata; Aves; Passeriformes; Paridae. The record is from RNAcentral.
AGGGACUGGGAUGGACUGGGAUUGAACUGGGAUGGACUGGGAUGGACUGGGGGGGAACUGGGAUGAACUGGGAGGGAACUGGUUUAUACUGGGAUGAACUGGGAGGGACUGGGAGGGACUGGGAGGGAACUGGGAGGGAACUGGGAUGGACUGGGAUGGACUGGGAUGGAACUGGUUUAUACUGGGAUGAACUGGGAUGGACUGGGAUGGACUGGGAGGGAACUGGGAGGGAACUGGGAUGGACUGGGAUGAACUGGGAUGGACUGGGAUGAAACUGGUUUAUACUGGGAGGGAACUGGGAUUGAACUGGGAUGAACUGGGAGGGAACUGGGAAGGAACUGGUUCAUACUGGGAUGACCCAGGACCAAACUGGGAUGAACUGGGAGGGAACUGGGAGGGAACUGGUUUAUACUGGGAUGGAACUGGGAUGAACUGGGGUGGAACUGGGAGGGGGUUACUGGUCCAUACUGGUCCGUACUGGUCCGUACUGGUCUCACCUCCAGGAAGGGCUGCAGGCCCCGCCCACUUCCCAGAAUUCCCAGCACCUGCUCCCGGAAGCUCUCCUCGGCCACAGCCACCAGGGGGCGCCCUUGCAGCGUCUGGGGGCGGGGCCUGGAUCAGGACACGCCCCUUUCUUCCAUAUAUGGGAAGGGUGUGCUUGGCCACGCCCCCUUCUUUCAUAUGUGGGUGGUUUGGGCUAGCCACGCCCCUUUUUCCAUAUAUGGGGAGAGUGGAAUUCACCACGCCCCUUCUGGGAGGAGUUAAAGGGAGUCCAGGGCUCCCAGUAUGGGCCCGGUUCAUCCCAGUUCAAUCCCAGUUCAUCCCAGUUCAAUCCCAGUUCAUCCCAGUUCAAUCCCAGUUCAAUCCCAGUUCAUCCCAGUUCAUCCCAGUCCAUCCCAGUUCAUCCCAGUCCAUCCCAGUCCAUCCCAGUUCAUCCCAGUUCAUCCCAGUUCAUCCCAGUUCAAUCCCAGUUCAAUCCCAGUCCAUCCCAGUCCAUCCCAGUUCCAUCCCAGUCCAUCCCAGUCAAUCCCAGUUCAUCCCAGUUCAAUCCCAGUUCAAUCCCAGUUCAAUCCCAGUCCAUCCCAGUCCAUCCCAGUCCAUCCCAGUCCAUCCCAGUCCAUCCCAGUUCA